This 490-nucleotide ribosomal RNA is filed under the name uncultured bacterium. Its description in RNAcentral is "partial 16S ribosomal RNA". It matches the Rfam family "Bacterial small subunit ribosomal RNA", at positions 30 to 507 of the family's 1533-position model. The record is from RNAcentral.
AUUGAACGCUGGCGGCAGGCCUAACACAUGCAAGUCGAACGGUAACAGGAAACAGCUUGCUGUUUCGCUGACGAGUGGCGGACGGGUGAGUAAUGUCUGGGAAACUGCCUGAUGGAGGGGGAUAACUACUGGAAACGGUAGCUAAUACCGCAUAACGUCGCAAGACCAAAGAGGGGGACCCUUGGGCCUCUUGCCAUCGGAUGUGCCCAGAUGGGAUUAGCUUGUUGGUGGGGUAACGGCUCACCAAGGCGACGAUCCCUAGCUGGUCUGAGAGGAUGACCAGCCACACUGGAACUGAGACACGGUCCAGACUCCUACGGGAGGCAGCAGUGGGGAAUAUUGCACAAUGGGCGCAAGCCUGAUGCAGCCAUGCCGCGUGUAUGAAGAAGGCCUUCGGGUUGUAAAGUACUUUCAGCGGGGAGGAAGGGAGUAAAGUUAAUACCUUUGCUCAUUGACGUUACCCGCAGAAGAAGCACCGGCUAACUCCGUG